Molecule: ribosomal RNA, 465 nt
Filed under: uncultured bacterium
Lineage: Bacteria
Description: partial 16S ribosomal RNA
Rfam family: Bacterial small subunit ribosomal RNA
Source: RNAcentral
CCUACGGGUGGCAGCAGUGGGGAAUAUUGCGCAAUGGGCGAAAGCCUGACGCAGCGACGCCGCGUGAGGGAUGAAGGUCUUCGGAUCGUAAACCUCUGUUAGCAGGGAAGAACGUUUACUGUGCGAAUCAGUUGUAAAUUGACGGUACCUGCAAAGGAAGCACCGGCUAACUCAGUGCCAGCAGCCGCGGUAAUACGGAGGGUGCGAGCGUUAUUCGGAAUUAUUGGGCGUAAAGCGCUCGUAGGCGGUAUGUCAAGUCCAGGGUUAAAUCCCCGGGCUCAACGUGCGGACGGCCUUUGAAACUAGCAAACUGGAGUGAGAGAGAGGUAAGUGGAAUUCCAGGUGAAGGGGUGAAAUGCGUAGAUAUAUGGAAGAACACCAGAGGCGAAGGCGACUAUCUGGCACAUUACUGACGCUGAGGAGCGAAAGCGUGGGUAGCAAACAGGAUUAGAUACCCCUGUAGUC